CGUCGAGUCCCGGCUCGCCUGCCAGGCCGCUGCGGCACCGAACCCACCGCCGCCCUCGAAUGUCUCCUGCUCCGGGCAGCCCAAGCCAAGGAGGUUUUCCCAAACCAACCUGGCCGUAAUGCAAGAUGAAACCGCAAACUGUGAGCGGAAGCUUCACUGUCCACCAGGCACGGCAGAGACUUGGGGAGAUGGAAACCGGCAAGCUGGUGUUAGCGGAGCGCCGUGACCACAAGCUGCGUGAAGGACAUAGCUUCUUCGCAGUGGAGGCCGCUCAAGUAGCGAGCAAUGCAGCUUCGCAGCCAUGCGUUGCGAGGGAUUUGUUCCUCCAGGAACUCACCUGCCUCAAGUGCUGGAGUCACAGUGAGCUUGAGCUGGGAGAGCCUCACAGGACAUUCAGGCCUGAACCGUAGGGCCUGACCUCCUCUUUCCUGCCUGAGACUCUUCACUGUUCAAGAUCAGCGAUGUUAUGUGCAGGGACAAGGGGUGUCCCCAUCUGCCAGUCAUUUUGCACUUGUUGCAGAAGCUGUGCAUAGAAAAUAGCACAUUGCCUGGAAGUGGAUUCAGCUUUCCGGAAGGCCGUUCCCAUUUGAUGGGAAAGCGAGGUUGGCGUAGGCCGUUGCUGGAUGAAUGGAGGCCUCUCAGCAUGGUGCUCUUGCCUCGCAUGCGCUCAGGACAGAC
Molecule: long non-coding RNA, 678 nt
Filed under: Struthio camelus australis
Lineage: Eukaryota; Metazoa; Chordata; Aves; Struthioniformes; Struthionidae
Description: lncRNA (ENSSCUG00000012789.1)
Source: RNAcentral